GGGCGAAUGGUCUAGAGGUAUGAUAUUCGCUUUGCAUCUGAAUCUUCAGUAUAAUGCCUGCGAAGGGUCCGGGGUUCAAUUCCCCGUUCGUCCA
Molecule: transfer RNA, 94 nt
Filed under: Nemania diffusa
Lineage: Eukaryota; Fungi; Ascomycota; Sordariomycetes; Xylariales; Xylariaceae
Also listed under: 1 other name
Description: tRNA-Ala
Rfam family: tRNA
About the family: Transfer RNA (tRNA) molecules are approximately 80 nucleotides in length. Their secondary structure includes four short double-helical elements and three loops (D, anti-codon, and T loops).
Source: RNAcentral